RNAcentral lists this transfer RNA (72 nucleotides) under Sphaerodactylus townsendi. Its description in RNAcentral is "tRNA-Ala". It matches the Rfam family "tRNA". From Rfam's summary of the family: Transfer RNA (tRNA) molecules are approximately 80 nucleotides in length. Their secondary structure includes four short double-helical elements and three loops (D, anti-codon, and T loops). The record is from RNAcentral. Lineage: Eukaryota; Metazoa; Chordata; Lepidosauria; Squamata; Sphaerodactylidae.
GGAGCUGUGGCUCUGUGGCAGAGCAUCUGCCUGGCAUGCAGAAGGCCCCAGGUUCAAUCCUCAAUAUCUCCA